Hemicordylus capensis (graceful crag lizard) is the source of this 1296-nucleotide long non-coding RNA. RefSeq lists it as uncharacterized. The record is from RefSeq and is a predicted model, not a curated record. Lineage: Eukaryota; Metazoa; Chordata; Lepidosauria; Squamata; Cordylidae. The transcript has 5 exons.
UCCCAGGACGCACCCUUCCCCUCGCAAGAGCUCAUCUCUCGCGGUUCUUCACCUCGCUUAGCGGGGAUGUCUCUUGACAACACAUUCGUGAGAAAGUAGAGAGCGAACAGUCAGGCAUUGAAAUGGACAGCCCUGCCAACGGCGGCGGCAAAGAGGCGAGGCGCGGAGAGCGACCCCUAGCGCGUGGAGGUCCUUACGGCGUUCGCUUGGAGGAUAGAAGGGCAAACGAGACCUUGGAGAAGGCAUGCUGUAUCGGUGGGCGAUCACCAGCAUUGAAAGGAAAACCCAUUUUCUCGCCCUCCUUUUUUCUUCUCUCUCUCUCUCGGCUGAGGUUGAUUACGGUUAGGCGAUUGGAUGUUUCUGGCUAAAAAGAACAAAGCCGUGCCAACCCCUAACGCCUGCUUCACAGAUAUCGGACAGCAGCGAUACAGGAAGGUGCUGGAGGCGGAUGCUCACUUCAGUGACAAUGGCAAAGGCAUCAUCUCAGACUGCAUGGGAGGAAGGCAAUGGCUGACCAUGGGGUGGGUUUCUGUGCUGCUGCAAAGAACUCCAGAAAUCUACCAUCUGAAGAUCUGCUGGAUCUACCAUCUAGCAUGGUAGAGCUAACCUGGUACAACAAAUCUUGUGGCAACUUAAAGACCAACAAAUGUAUUGUCGUAUAAACUUUGGACUACAGUGUACUUCAUCAGAUGCAUGCAGUGUUAUUCAAAAAAGGAAAAACAAAACAAUGUAAUGGAGUCAAAUGGCCACAGUAACUUCUAUUAUUUCUGUGUUUUGCAAGGCCGUUGUGGAGGAAAACCUAGAUUACCCCCCCCUUUGGUUGGUCCAAGCCCUGGGCAAGAGUUGUCUGCAAAAUGUGUGCUCUUCAGAGAAAUUUGUCAUAACAUUUGGAGUGUUACCCGGUCCACAAUAACAAGAGUUUAAAUGCCAUGUUAUGUUGUGCAAGUGGGCAGCAACAGUGAGUUCUGAUAACUUUUAGAAUAUGUUGGAAGGCACAGUUGCUGCAAAAGGGUUUUCAGCAGAAGCUCAUACUGCUGCAGUCUGAUCACUGGACUGACAGAAAGCACCAAAAGAAGAGCUGGUUUUAGGACCGUAAUGCUGGAUUCCUUGUGGAAACUUGAAUCAAUCUGUUGAUUAAAUCUGAAACUGUACAUGGAAUCACAGAGCUACAGAAAUUGCUGUGAGAAAGUUUGAUGCCAUUUUAAUGCUGUGGUGUUGAUAGCCCUCAUGUGGUCAACAAGUAUCUUCAUUUAAAAACAAAACAAAACAAAUUAUAUCCCUCUUUUUCUCCAAGGA